UUGGUUCAGUACAGCAGCAGAUUCUGCUGAAAUAAUCUGAUGGAUGCAGUGAGAUUCAGCAUUUUACUGCUUCUGCCAUGUUUUGGCUGCCAUCUGGACUCUGAAGAGACUCUUGUAAAAACAAUCGGGAAAGAAUCUGAAUUCACUCCAAUCUGCACCAACGAAACAUCAAAUAUCAUCAUAUUGAUUGUGUGUAGAAUCAGAACAGAGAGGAACAAUGGAGAGCAGUGCAGUCUGCUAUAUAUGGACGGAGGUGACUUUGUUCAUGAGUGUGACUCCAGGUUUUCACUGAAAACCAGGAAUCAAACUGUGUUUCUGCACCUGACCAGUUUAACAGCAGCUGAUAGUGGGAACUAUUCCUGUGAGUGUUCAAAUCUUGAUGGAACAUAUUUUCUUCAUCUCAGCAUCACAGUUAAUGACUCAAAUCCCGAUGAGAAUCUAUCAGAUGAAGUUUGGAGCCAGUCUGUAGGAGUGACUCUUCCUUCUGCUUUGACUGCUGCAGCUUUAUUAGUUUUCAUAGUUUCAGUUAUUCUGGGAUUUAUUUACAGAAGACAUCAACAUCGAGAGCAACCGGAGUCAUGCAUUCAUCAUCUAGAAGAGGACUUGACUGAAAUUGAGCCGUACAUCUCCUACACUCAGAAGAAAAAUUCACUUUAUUCAACAGGCAUAUUGCACAGCUGUCAAAUUAAUUCUGACUAUUCAAAUAUUGUCUAAUGAAUGGAUAAAUUUACCAUCACAGUUCUUGGGUGUUUGGAUGUUUUUCUUUUGUAUUUCUGAUCAUUUCCUUCUGAUUUAUUUAUGUUGAAUGGGUCUUGCUGUAUUCGGUUUAUUUCCCAGUGUUUAUUAAUGUUGUUGUCAUAUAAGUUCCUUUGUGCUUAGUUUCUUAUUGUGUUAGUUUUUUUGUUCAUUUGGAUUCAUUCCUCUGAGAUCUUUUUCACUUGGCUUGUUGCUUUUCUGAGUUUUAGUUCAUCUUUCUGGACUCUCCCUCUGUUUCUCUGCCUUCUGUCUCUUCCUCAGCUGUCAUUUGCCACCCUCGCUUCCUUAUAAAGGCAUGUUCAUAUAAUAUAUAAUAUAUAAUAUAUGUAUGUACAUCCUUUAACAUGUUUCCAGAAAUUUUUACAUGUCGUUUCUUCAUAAAUGUCCAAAAACAACCAAGCAAACACAAAGAAAAGUUUCUAUUUUUGGUCAUUUCUAAAGAAAAAAAUCUCCAAGAUGCUCAACACAUUGCCAUUCACUAAAGCUGAUGAUGGAUUGUGUAAAAAUAGGUUGGAAUAAACAUUUGACGCUGCUCAUUUUUAUUUAGUGUAGAAAAACACACUGAAAACAUUUUAGCUGAUCGAUGCCUCAUGAAUUUAGAAAAAGAAGUUAAGAGUCAGGCUUGGUUAGACCAUGAUCAGCCUCAACCACCUUUAAACCACAUUUAGACAUCAGUUGACAUCUUUAUGUUUUUUAUGGGACAUCUUUUCAUCUUUCACUUUUUAACUGCGUUGAUCAAGAACUACAAGAACUAGAACACGGUGUCUCUUCUCUGCCAUUUCAAAAAGGUUUCUUUUUGUUUUGUUACAUAAAUGUUAUAGUUACUUGACAAAAGCUCCACAUUGAAACAUCUUUACAUUUUUUUCUUUAAAGUUGUUGAAACACUCAGUAAAUCAAA
Xiphophorus maculatus (southern platyfish) is the source of this 1654-nucleotide long non-coding RNA. RefSeq lists it as uncharacterized. The transcript has 5 exons. The record is from RefSeq and is a predicted model, not a curated record. Lineage: Eukaryota; Metazoa; Chordata; Actinopteri; Cyprinodontiformes; Poeciliidae.